GGAUUGAAGGCUGAAAUUCGCCUUCAUGAAGCUGGAAUUGCUAGUAAUGGCAGGUCAGCAUACUGCCGUGAAUACGUUCCCGGGCCUUGUACACACCGCCCGUCACACCAUGAGAGUUGGAAAUACCCGAAGUCUGUGAGCUAACAGUAAUGAGGCAGCAGUCGAAGGUAGAGCCAAUGAUUGGGGUGAAGUCGUAACAAGGUAAC
This 206-nucleotide ribosomal RNA is filed under the name uncultured bacterium. Its description in RNAcentral is "partial 16S ribosomal RNA". It matches the Rfam family "Bacterial small subunit ribosomal RNA", at positions 1295 to 1500 of the family's 1533-position model. The record is from RNAcentral.